This is a long non-coding RNA of Lepus europaeus (European hare), 359 nucleotides long. RefSeq lists it as uncharacterized. The record is from RefSeq and is a predicted model, not a curated record. The transcript has 3 exons. NCBI's taxonomy places the organism in Eukaryota, Metazoa, Chordata, Mammalia, Lagomorpha, Leporidae.
GAAGAGGGCCAGGUAGCGGCGGCGGGCUACGGGCGGCGGCCCGGCAUGGGGACGACGCCAGCCGCGAACGAAGGACGCACUCUCUGCAUGGCCCAUGUCCCGUGACCACGUUUGGACCAAAGACCUGUGUGCUGCAGAACCCCCAGACCAUCAUGCAUAUUCAGGACCCUGCAAGCCAGCGGUUGACGUGGAACAAGCCCCCGAAGAGCAUCCUUGUCAUCAAGAAGAUAUGCUACACCUGCCUGCUGCAGCUCUUCAAGGAGUUCUGCAUGUACCUGGUGCAGGCAAGUGAGGCAGGGGCUGGGAGCCCCGUGCACUUUGUCCCACUGAGGGCACACCCAGCCUGGCAGCAGCUUAUU